Molecule: ribosomal RNA, 256 nt
Filed under: uncultured bacterium
Lineage: Bacteria
Description: partial 16S ribosomal RNA
Rfam family: Bacterial small subunit ribosomal RNA
Source: RNAcentral
GAUCCUGGCUCAGGACGAACGCUGGCGGCGCGCCUAACACAUGCAAGUCGAACGGAGCUUGAAGAGCUUGCUUUUUAAGCUUAGUGGCGAACGGGUGAGUAACGCGUGAGUAACCUGCCCUGAAGUGGGGGACAACAGUUGGAAACGACUGCUAAUACCGCAUAAGCCCACGGCCCGGCAUCGGGCUGCGGGAAAAGGAUUUAUUCGCUUCAGGAUGGACUCGCGUCCAAUUAGCUAGUUGGUGAGGUAACGGCCC